AGAGACGGUUAGUUUUCGAUCGGUCACGUGACUCAACAUGGUGCCAUCAAGAGGAAUUAUCUCACAUAAACAGCUUUGAUCUUCACAUAUUCAUGAAAAAUAUCCAAAACUAUUUCGCUACACUACUCUCCUCAGAGGUGAAUGUGGGUGGACAGGCAGGAGAAAAACAAGCAGCAGAAGCUACAGUAAACAAAUGAUUUUCAUCCGAGGAUGGACGCGACAGAAACUUCAUCCACAGACGCCACACAUAGCGCGCAAAAGGACAGAGGCACCGAUCUAGACAGGGACAUGCCUUGUAGAAACAUUCGAUCGGUGAUGGAUGGGGAUGACGUGCCCUC
This is a long non-coding RNA of Carassius gibelio (silver crucian carp), 338 nucleotides long. RefSeq lists it as uncharacterized. The transcript has 4 exons. The record is from RefSeq and is a predicted model, not a curated record. Lineage: Eukaryota; Metazoa; Chordata; Actinopteri; Cypriniformes; Cyprinidae.